RNAcentral lists this ribosomal RNA (305 nucleotides) under uncultured bacterium. RNAcentral describes it as "bacterial SSU rRNA". It matches the Rfam family "Bacterial small subunit ribosomal RNA", at positions 335 to 639 of the family's 1533-position model. The record is from RNAcentral.
AUCCUACGGGAGGCAGCAGUGAGGAAUAUUGGUCAAUGGGCGGGAGCCUGAACCAGCCAAGUCGCGUGAGGGAUGACGGCCCUAUGGGUUGUAAACCUCUUUUGCCGGGGAGCAAAGUGCCGCACGUGUGCGGUUUGGAGAGUACCCGGAGAAAAAGCAUCGGCUAACUCCGUGCCAGCAGCCGCGGUAAUACGGAGGAUGCGAGCGUUAUCCGGAUUUAUUGGGUUUAAAGGGUGCGCAGGCGGGAGAUCAAGUCAGCGGUAAAAUGUCGGGGCUCAACCCCGGCCGGCCGUUGAAACUGGUUU